CUCUUCGGAGGUGAGUAAAGUGGCGCAUGGGUGAGUAACACGUGGGUAAUCUGCCCUUAGGUUUGGGAUAACCCCGGGAAACCGGAGCUAAUACCGAAUGAGACCACGACGACCUCGGUCGAUGUGGGAAAAGAUGGCCUCUUCUUGAAAGCUAUCGCCAAAGGAUGAGCCCGCGGUUGAUUAGCUUGUUGGUGAGGUAACGGCUCACCAAGGCUCCGAUCAAUAGCUGGUCUGAGAGGAUGAUCAGCCACACUGGAACUGAGACACGGUCCAGACUCCUACGGGAGGCAGCAGUCGGGAAUAUUGGGCAAUGGGCGAAAGCCUGACCCAGCAACGCCGCGUGAAGGAUGAAGGCCCUAGGGUCGUAAACUUCUGUCGAGAGGGAAGAAUGCCUGCGGGUAAAUAAUCCGUAGGUUUGACGGUACCUCCAAAGGAAGCACCGGCUAACUCCGUGCCAGCAGCCGCGGUAAUACGGAGGGUGCAAGCGUUGUUCGGAUUUAUUGGGCGUAAAGCGAGUGUAGGCGGUUUGGCAAGUCGGAUGUGAAAUCCCAGGGCCCAACCCUGGAACUGCAUCCGAUACUGUCAGGCUAGAAUUCCGGAGAGGGUGGCGGAAUUCCCGGUGUAGGGGUGAAAUCCGUAGAUAUCGGGAGGAACACCAGUGGCGAAGGCGGCCACCUGGA
RNAcentral lists this ribosomal RNA (680 nucleotides) under uncultured delta proteobacterium. RNAcentral describes it as "bacterial SSU rRNA". It matches the Rfam family "Bacterial small subunit ribosomal RNA", at positions 76 to 733 of the family's 1533-position model. The record is from RNAcentral. Lineage: Bacteria; Deltaproteobacteria.